This 253-nucleotide ribosomal RNA is filed under the name uncultured bacterium. RNAcentral's name for it is "partial 16S ribosomal RNA". It matches the Rfam family "Bacterial small subunit ribosomal RNA", at positions 524 to 776 of the family's 1533-position model. The record is from RNAcentral.
UCCGGACGGGGCUAUCGGUGUUCGGAAUUACUGGGCGUGAAGCGCACGUAGGCGGACGAGAAAGUCAGAGGUGAAAUCCCAGGGCUCAACCCUGGAACUGCCUUUGAAACUCCUUGUCUUGAGGUCGAGAGAGGUGAGUGGAAUUCCGAGUGUAGAGGUGAAAUUCGUAGAUAUUCGGAGGAACACCAGUGGCGAAGGCGGCUCACUGGCUCGAUACUGACGCUGAGGUGCGAAAGCGUGGGGAGAAAACAGG